GAUGAAGCCCUUCGGGGUGGAUUAGUGGCGAACGGGUGAGUAACACGUGGGCAAUCUGCCCUUCACUCUGGGACAAGCCCUGGAAACGGGGUCUAAUACCGGAUAAUACUUUCUCCCGCAUGGGAGAAGGUUGAAAGCUCCGGCGGUGAAGGAUGAGCCCGCGGCCUAUCAGCUUGUUGGUGGGGUGAUGGCCUACCAAGGCGACGACGGGUAGCCGGCCUGAGAGGGCGACCGGCCACACUGGGACUGAGACACGGCCCAGACUCCUACGGGAGGCAGCAGUGGGGAAUAUUGCACAAUGGGCGAAAGCCUGAUGCAGCGACGCCGCGUGAGGGAUGACGGCCUUCGGGUUGUAAACCUCUUUCAGCAGGGAAGAAGCGAAAGUGACGGUACCUGCAGAAGAAGCGCCGGCUAACUACGUGCCAGCAGCCGCGGUAAUACGUAGGGCGCAAGCGUUGUCCGGAAUUAUUGGGCGUAAAGAGCUCGUAGGCGGCUUGUCACGUCGGAUGUGAAAGCCCGGGGCUUAACCCCGGGUCUGCAUUCGAUACGGGCAGGCUAGAGUGUGGUAGGGGAGAUCGGAAUUCCUGGUGUAGCGGUGAAAUGCGCAGAUAUCAGGAGGAACACCGGUGGCGAAGGCGGAUCUCUGGGCCAUUACUGACGCUGAGGAGCGAAAGCGUGGGGAGCGAACAGGAUUAGAUACCCUGGUAGUCCACGCCGUAAACGUUGGGAACUAGGUGUUGGCGACAUUCCACGUCGUCGGUGCCGCAGCUAACGCAUUAAG
This 781-nucleotide ribosomal RNA is filed under the name bacterium. RNAcentral's name for it is "bacterial SSU rRNA". It matches the Rfam family "Bacterial small subunit ribosomal RNA", at positions 68 to 864 of the family's 1533-position model. The record is from RNAcentral.